UAUUGGGCAAUGGGCGCAAGCCUGACCCAGCAACGCCGCGUGAAGGAAGAAGGCCCUCGGGUUGUAAACUUCUUUUAUUCGGGACGAANNAAAUGACGGUACCGAAUGAAUAAGCCACGGCUAACUACGUGCCAGCAGCCGCGGUAAUACGUAGGUGGCAAGCGUUAUCCGGAUUUACUGGGUGUAAAGGGCGAGUAGGCGGGAUUGCAAGUCAGAUGUGAAAACUAUGGGCUCAACCCAUAGACUGCAUUUGAAACUGCAGUCCUUGAGUGAUGGAGAGGCAGGCGGAAUUCCCGGUGUAGCGGUGGAAUGCGUAGAUAUCGGGAGGAACACCAGUGGCGAAGGCGGCCUGCUAGACAUUAACUGACGCUGAGGCGCGAAAGCGUGGGGAGCAAACAGG
This 400-nucleotide ribosomal RNA is filed under the name uncultured bacterium. Its description in RNAcentral is "bacterial SSU rRNA". It matches the Rfam family "Bacterial small subunit ribosomal RNA", at positions 362 to 776 of the family's 1533-position model. The record is from RNAcentral.